Misgurnus anguillicaudatus (oriental weatherfish) is the source of this 937-nucleotide non-coding RNA. The record is from RefSeq and is a predicted model, not a curated record. NCBI's taxonomy places the organism in Eukaryota, Metazoa, Chordata, Actinopteri, Cypriniformes, Cobitidae.
AAAAAAUGGACUUGGUGGGUCUUUGAAUUUAAAUAAAAUAAACAUGUAUAUGCAACACAAAAUAUUUAUAUUCCUUGUGUAAACAUAAUUUAAUUGAUUAGGAUGAAAAUGUUUUGUUUGAAUGUAAAAUGAACACAUUAUUCUCACAUUGAUUAAAAUUGAUUGAAUUGAAUACUUAAUGCAAUAAAAUUGAGUUUGCAUACAAAAUGGCACCUCCUGAGCAGAAGGUGGCAGUAACGCUCAAUGAAAAGGACGUCAACUGCCAUAAAAGAAGAAUAAACAUCGUUUGUUUUGGGCGCCAAAAUGAGCAGCAGUCAGUCAGAAGAACUCUCUCAGACGGACACCACGUUAUUAAAGUCCAUCAUCCUUGCACACACUCAAAAGCAUUGAUAAAUGCUGAAUUUAAAAGAAUCACUACUGUCUAAUGUUCCUGUGUCACCUGGACCUCCAAUCCAAAAACCUGACGAAACUCUUCUAUCAGAAAGGAGGACAUCUAGCAAAAAGACUUGGAACAAUCAAUGAUCAAAUGACAGAAGUAAGUAAUAUAGAUUCAUAGACAUAAAAAUGUGUAAACCUUGUUGGAAGUACAGAAAAUGUAGUAUGUUUUAGUUACAUCUUUUGGCACAAGGGUCAUUAAAACACCUGGGAAGAUUUAAAGGGGUAGUUCACCCAAAAAUAAAAAUUCUCAUCACUUACUCUCUAUCAUGUUGUUACAAACCUUUAUAAAUGUCUUUGUUCUGAUGAACACUAAGGAAGAUAUUUUGAGGAAUGUUUGUACCCAAACCAAUCAUAAGCCCCAUUCACUUCCAUAGUGGGGAAAUAUAAUACUAUGGAAGUGAAUGGGGCUCAUGAACAGUUUGGUUGCAAACAUUCCUCAAAAUAAAUGUCUUCCUUCGUGUUCAUCAGAACAAAGACAUUUAUACAGGUCUGUAACAAC